Molecule: long non-coding RNA, 792 nt
Organism: Coturnix japonica (Japanese quail)
Lineage: Eukaryota; Metazoa; Chordata; Aves; Galliformes; Phasianidae
Source: RefSeq, a predicted model, not a curated record
CCUCACACACCUCACAGCCCUCACACCUCUCACACCUCACAGCGCGGCCGUCGGGCCGUGUCGCCUGAAGCUCGUCCAUCCCGGCGCACGGCAGGGGUUGGAAAGGACCUCCAGAGAUCAUCGAGACCAGCCCCCCUGCAAAGCUGGCACCCUACAGCAUGCUGCACAGCCACUUAUGAAACCCUCCAUUCUCGCAGAGGAAACAAACUAUGAACUUAGAACUUAACUUCUCAGGUAAUAUAAUUUAAAAUAAACUAAAUACUCUAUACAAUAUAGGCUACUUUCCAUUGUUUUCAUAAAAAUUUCACUGUGAAAUAAGUCAUAGAGGUUUUGGAUUUAAUAUAUUUGCUGAGUCAAACUCAUCGCUGCCUACUACCUGACACCUCAUUCAAGCAGCAUUUUCUGGCUUCAUCAUUAGAAGAAAGCCUUGCUGACAGAAACUAUUGUUAAUCUUGGAGUAGUACUAUUGACAGUAACUUUAUAUGGAAACAAAGUUCAUCCCUAUCAGCUGAAUUAAAUUCACAAUUUUAGAUAGUCUACUGUAUUUUCUUAAAGUGGAUUCACUGUUUUAAGAGAUGUAGGGACACAUCAGCAGCCCGAUACCAGCAGCAUCCAUAAUGAAAAACCUUACAUAUACAUAGGGGACUUGUAUGUUCUGAAAGGAAUAUUUAGGUACACCAAACUAUUUUAAAUGUCAUACCAGUAUGUUGUGCAAAGGUUCACUUGAUCUUUUGAGUGAAGAAACUGAAGAAUUUGGAUUUAAUCGAAACGCAAGACUAAGUCAUAGAGUAA